CAUACACACCUAUCAAAAACUUAA
Molecule: small nuclear RNA, 24 nt
Filed under: Arabidopsis thaliana (thale cress)
Lineage: Eukaryota; Viridiplantae; Streptophyta; Magnoliopsida; Brassicales; Brassicaceae
Description: snRNA_06054
Source: RNAcentral